UACGAAGGGGGCUAGCGUUGCUCGGAAUCACUGGGCGUAAAGGGUGCGCAGGCGGAUAUGUAAGUCAGUGGUGAAAUCUCCAGGCUUAACCUGGAAAUUGCCGUUGAUACUAUAUAUCUUGAAUGCUGUGGAGGUAAGCGGAAUAUGUCAUGUAGCGGUGAAAUGCUUAGAGAUGACAUAGAACACCUAUUGCGAAGGCAGCUUACUACGCAGAUAUCGACGCUCAUGCACGAAAGCGUGGGGAUCAAACAGG
This 253-nucleotide ribosomal RNA is filed under the name uncultured bacterium. Its description in RNAcentral is "partial 16S ribosomal RNA". It matches the Rfam family "Bacterial small subunit ribosomal RNA", at positions 524 to 776 of the family's 1533-position model. The record is from RNAcentral.